This 501-nucleotide ribosomal RNA is filed under the name Escherichia coli. RNAcentral describes it as "bacterial SSU rRNA". It matches the Rfam family "Bacterial small subunit ribosomal RNA", at positions 1 to 491 of the family's 1533-position model. Lineage: Bacteria; Pseudomonadati; Pseudomonadota; Gammaproteobacteria; Enterobacterales; Enterobacteriaceae. The record is from RNAcentral.
AAAUUGAAGAGUUUGAUCAUGGCUCAGAUUGAACGCUGGCGGCAGGCCUAACACAUGCAAGUCGAACGGUAACAGGAAGCAGCUUGCUGCUUUGCUGACGAGUGGCGGACGGGUGAGUAAUGUCUGGGAAACUGCCUGAUGGAGGGGGAUAACUACUGGAAACGGUAGCUAAUACCGCAUAACGUCGCAAGACCAAAGAGGGGGACCUUCGGGCCUCUUGCCAUCGGAUGUGCCCAGAUGGGAUUAGCUAGUAGGUGGGGUAAAGGCUCACCUAGGCGACGAUCCCUAGCUGGUCUGAGAGGAUGACCAGCCACACUGGAACUGAGACACGGUCCAGACUCCUACGGGAGGCAGCAGUGGGGAAUAUUGCACAAUGGGCGCAAGCCUGAUGCAGCCAUGCCGCGUGUAUGAAGAAGGCCUUCGGGUUGUAAAGUACUUUCAGCGGGGAGGAAGGGAGUAAAGUUAAUACCUUUGCUCAUUGACGUUACCCGCAGAAGAAGC